AACGAACGCUGGCGGCAUGCCUAACACAUGCAAGUCGAACGAAGCCUUCGGGCUUAGUGGCGCACGGGUGCGUAACGCGUGGGAAUCUGCCCUUGGGUUCGGAAUAACAGUUAGAAAUGACUGCUAAUACCGGAUGAUGUCUUCGGACCAAGGAUUUAUCGCCCAAGGAUGAGCCCGCGUAGGAUUAGGUAGUUGGUGGGGUAAUGGCCCACCAAGCCGACGAUCCUUAGCUGGUCUGAGAGGAUGAUCAGCCACACUGGGACUGAGACACGGCCCAGACUCCUACGGGAGUCAGCAGUGGGGAAUAUUGGACAAUGGGCGAAAGCCUGAUCCAGCAAUGCCGCGUGAGUGAUGAAGGCCUUAGGGUUGUAAAGCUCUUUUACCAGGGAUGAUAAUGACAGUACCUGGAGAAUAAGCUCCGGCUAACUCCGUGCCAGUAGCCGCCGUAA
RNAcentral lists this ribosomal RNA (449 nucleotides) under uncultured bacterium. Its description in RNAcentral is "partial 16S ribosomal RNA". It matches the Rfam family "Bacterial small subunit ribosomal RNA", at positions 29 to 523 of the family's 1533-position model. The record is from RNAcentral.